UUGCCGUGACUUGAGAAGCAAAAGAAAAGAAGAAAUCGGUUCUUCUUAGCUGAAAUGAAAAGAAGAAGAAAGGAAUGAAGCUAGAAAGGAGAGGGCAGCUGCAUGUAGUGGAAAACCAUGGAAUUUGUUUGCUUAGAAGUUAAAAUUUUCAAGUAGAAGGGUAACUCUUCUAAACUCUCCCUUGCCCAUAGCUUUUCGUUGACAAAUUCUGGUUGCAUUGUUGAUUUGAGCUUGACGAAUAUGUGGGAGAAGAGAAGAUUCUCUUUUCUAGUUGCAAAUGUUGCAUGUCUAGUAGAUGAAGAGUUUCUCACUUGUGUUAAAAGAAUCUAGUGAAUGCUUGUGUUGUUAUAAUCUAUUUUUGUAACUUUGGGGUUGAUUGUAUUUAGCUAACAAGGUAGGAGAAGGUGGUAGUAGACAAGGGAAAGAGCAAAUUGAAUAGGUGGAAUCGGUGUUGGGAACCUUGAUUUUGCUCGUUAGCUAUCGGAUUCGGGAUCAUUGAAGUCGAAGUCAUCCACACUAUCAAAGCCCCCAUUUUGGUACAAUUUUGGUUGAACUUUGAAAUGGCAUGUAUAGGACUACCCUUUUGUUGUAGGUUAUGUACCUUUCGGUUUUGUGUAAAUUCGGAUAGCCAUGCGAAAAUGGCUUAUAUACGUUUCUAGCAUAGUACUAUAAUCGUUUGUAUGUUGAUCAUUAUGAGGUAUGGAAUUGUUUUGAAACGAUUAGCCAUUGGAAUGGUUAAUCAUGAUCA
Long non-coding RNA from Gossypium arboreum, 748 nucleotides. RefSeq lists it as uncharacterized. The transcript is spliced from 2 exons. The record is from RefSeq and is a predicted model, not a curated record. NCBI's taxonomy places the organism in Eukaryota, Viridiplantae, Streptophyta, Magnoliopsida, Malvales, Malvaceae.